Molecule: ribosomal RNA, 440 nt
Filed under: uncultured bacterium
Lineage: Bacteria
Description: bacterial SSU rRNA
Rfam family: Bacterial small subunit ribosomal RNA
Source: RNAcentral
CUACGGGAGGCAGCAGUAAGGAAUAUUGGACAAUGGGGGCAACCCUGAUCCAGCGACGCCGCGUGGGUGACGAAGGCCUUCGGGUUGUAAAGCCCUUUUGCCGGGGACGAUGAUGACGGUACCCGGAGAAUAAGCACCGGCUAACUCCGUGCCAGCAGCCGCGGUAAGACGGAGGGUGCUAGCGUUGUUCGGAAUUACUGGGCGUAAAGGGCGCGUAGGCGGCCAUGUAAGUCGGGUGUGAAAGCCCGGGGCUCAACCCCGGAACGGCACCCGAGACUGUGUGGCUGGAGACCGGAAGAGGUGAGUGGAAUACCCAGUGUAGAGGUGAAAUUCGUAGAUAUUGGGUGGAACACCGGUGGCGAAAGCGGCUCACUGGUCCGGUUCUGACGCUGAGGCGCGAAAGCGUGGGGAGCAAACAGGAUUAGAUACCCGAGUAGUCC